CCUACGGGUGGCUGCAGUAGGGAAUCUUCCACAAUGGGCGAAAGCCUGAUGGAGCAACGCCGCGUGGGUGAAGAAGGUCUUCGGAUCGUAAAACCCUGUUGUUAGAGAAGAAAGUGCGUGAGAGUAACUGCUCACGUUUCGACGGUAUCUAACCAGAAAGCCACGGCUAACUACGUGCCAGCAGCCGCGGUAAUACGUAGGUGGCAAGCGUUAUCCGGUUUUAUUGGGCGUAAAGGGAACGCAGGCGGUAUUUUAAGUCUUAUGUGAAAGCCUGCGGCUUAACCGGUGUAGUGCAGUGGAAACUGGGAGGCGUGAGUGCAGGAGAGGAGAGUGGAA
RNAcentral lists this ribosomal RNA (336 nucleotides) under uncultured bacterium. RNAcentral describes it as "partial 16S ribosomal RNA". It matches the Rfam family "Bacterial small subunit ribosomal RNA", at positions 338 to 666 of the family's 1533-position model. The record is from RNAcentral.